This 404-nucleotide long non-coding RNA is filed under the name Elaeis guineensis (African oil palm). Its description in RNAcentral is "long non-coding RNA (EGUI_LNC053823)". Lineage: Eukaryota; Viridiplantae; Streptophyta; Magnoliopsida; Arecales; Arecaceae. The record is from RNAcentral.
UGAGAAUUUCUCUGUACUUCCUUCAUUCGAACCCGAACUCAGAAGUAGGGGGACUGGUGUUGGGUAUAAAAUAUCCCUCGAUCGAAGUUUGUAAAAAAUCGACCCUUCCAGGGCUCUUCCGGCUUCCGACCUUGUGUGUGGCAUCUCUCCAAACCCCGUCGAUCGUCUAGACUUCUCCGAUAGUGAACUUCUGCAUUCGUCUACCGGGCUGCCCCAAAAGCUCUCUGGGCCUCACCACCAGUCGACCUUCUACAGUGAUCAACUAUUCUCCAAACUUCUUUCGGACUCCGUCAAUAUCUGAGCUUCUUUGACAAUGAGGUUUCUACAGAAAUCAAACUCCAUCUGAGUUUCUACGGCGGUCGAUCACCUUCAAGAUUCUAAUCAGGCUCUUGUGAGAGCCGAAC